UUCCUCUGUUCCUCCCUCCAUGAUCUUUUGCCUCCCCCAAGCCCCUCCUACCUCCCUGAUCUGCUGCCUUCGUCAAGCGAUGCAGCCAAAUCGAUGGCCCCCAUGCGCGUCCUCCAUUUCCAGCACCAGUAGAAGCCAUAUUCCUGAGGAGCAUCGGAAGUAUCUUGUGCAAUAGUCUUUCCAAUGCAUGCAUUAGUGCAAGCAACAUCAACAUAUACCGUAGCAUCAAAAGGGAGAAACUUAAGGUGGUUUGCUUGGUGCGUCCACCAAAAAGUAAGAGAAAGUGAGGUAGAGGGAGCGGCCCAUGGCCGGAUUAUGCUGCUGCAAAGCUUAGUGCCUCUGCCGCAAGUCCGGGACGAGAGAUGAGAGUAUGGACGCCGGCUGACGACGGGAUACUGUGGGCAUCAUCGGUCGGGGCUGCAAUGGAGCCUGACACCACGGCGCCCGGGGCUGCAAUGGAGCCUGACACCAUGGCGCCCGGAGCUGCAAUGGAGCUCUGCCGGGGAUGCAAUGGAGCCCGGCACCACGGUGCUCGGAGCUGCAAUGGAGCUCCGUUGGGGCUGCAAUGAAGAGCGGGCGCUACUGCCGGAGGCGUGGCAAGUCGAGGACGGCGACGCUCACCACCGGUGCUGCAAUGAAGUGAGUGUUGCUGCCAGCGGCAUUGCAAUGGAGCAGGUGCUGCUGCAGGCGGCGCGGCAAGUCGAGGACGGCGCCGCUCGCCACCAGUGAUGCAAUGAAGGGAGCAUUGCUGCCAACGGAAUGACAAGUCGGGGAUGGCAGCGCUGCAAUGAAGUGCCGAUGGAGCCACCGACGACAGGGCUGCUGCGUGGUGAGGGAUGCAAUACUAUGGCGGCCUCGCGCGUCGAUGAUGUUGUGCUUGUCUGGGUCACAACAUCGCCGCUGCCGCCGUUGCCACGUUGAGGACCUUGGUCACGCAUAGUCAGAGUCGCGUUUGCUGCUUUGUGCUGCUAGUGCUGGGAGUGGUGGACGCGAGGCCAUUGCAAAUUGGUGCUACCACAGUCAGGCGAGUGGUGCAUCCCUGAUCCCUGCAUGCAGUACCAGUUUAGAUAGUAAUACUGAUUAAAUUAAGUCAGGAUCAACUGUUAAAAUUUAUUGAUAUAAAUUAAGGUGAAAGGCCCCUUGAAUUGUAUGCCUCGUUCACGUAAUGAAUUAUUUGUGCAGGGAGUUCUAGCGACACAUUAUACAAGGAGCUAUGGCAUGCUUGAUCUAGGCUUUUGAUCAUAGUGCCUUGCCAAGGUAUGGUCUGAUGUCAGGUUGCGGGAGGCAUCUGUAAUCAAUCUCUCCGACACAUUUGCCAACACUAUAUGCGAAGAAAUGUUACCUUCGUCAAGCAGUUUUGUUAAUGGUGAUACUUCCAGGAAAUGUCGUCUGACGACGGAAAAAAUUUCGGUAUGUGCACAUACUGUGAAGACGAGCG
Long non-coding RNA from Triticum dicoccoides, 1438 nucleotides. RefSeq lists it as uncharacterized. The transcript is spliced from 4 exons. NCBI's taxonomy places the organism in Eukaryota, Viridiplantae, Streptophyta, Magnoliopsida, Poales, Poaceae. The record is from RefSeq and is a predicted model, not a curated record.